Molecule: ribosomal RNA, 492 nt
Filed under: uncultured bacterium
Lineage: Bacteria
Description: partial 16S ribosomal RNA
Rfam family: Bacterial small subunit ribosomal RNA
Source: RNAcentral
AGUGAACGCUGGCGGCAGGCCUAACACAUGCAAGUCGAACGGCAGCACAGUAAGAGCUUGCUCUUACGGGUGGCGAGUGGCGGACGGGUGAGGAAUACAUCGGAAUCUACUUUUUCGUGGGGGAUAACGUAGGGAAACUUACGCUAAUACCGCAUACGACCUACGGGUGAAAGCAGGGGAUCUUCGGACCUUGCGCGAUUGAAUGAGCCGCUGUCGGAUUAGCUAGUUGGCGGGGUAAAGGCCCACCAAGGCGACGAUCCGUAGCUGGUAUGAGAGGAUGAUCAGCCACACUGGAACUGAGACACGGUCCAGAGUCCUACGGGAGGCAGCAGUGGGGAAUAUUGGAGAAUGGGCGAAAGCCUGAUCCAGCCAUACCGCGUGGGUGAAGAAGGACUUCGGGUUGUAAAGGCCUUUUGUUGGGAAAGAAAAGCAGCAGGUUAAUACCCCGAUGUUCUGACGGUAACCAAAGAAUAAGCACCGGCUAACUUCGUG